CUCAGAUUUAGACACAGCAGCAGCAUACAGGUUCAGCUCUACAGCCGGAACAGAAUAAACCAUUUAGACACAGCAGCAGCAUACAGGUUCAGCUCUACAGCCGGAACAGAAUAAACCAAUUCAAGCAGGAACACAUUUGAGGUGUCAUUCACAGAGGCCAGAGUCAUGAGUUGGAAUUGGGUAAGAAAACUGAUUAUUAACAGAAACAAUAGCAGGUCUUAACCCAAAGCACGAAGUAAAAUUU
Long non-coding RNA from Neoarius graeffei (lesser salmon catfish), 244 nucleotides. RefSeq lists it as uncharacterized. The record is from RefSeq and is a predicted model, not a curated record. Lineage: Eukaryota; Metazoa; Chordata; Actinopteri; Siluriformes; Ariidae. The transcript has 3 exons.